CAGCAGACCCUUAUGUCAGCCAGGUCCCUUCCUUGUGGGAGCCCAGAGUGCAACAGCUGCAAACAGCAGCCUGCUCGGCAGUUUAUCCAUCCUGCUACUUCUUUAGGUUGUCCCUAGUGACCUUGGAGACAUCC
Molecule: small nucleolar RNA, 134 nt
Organism: Microtus oregoni (creeping vole)
Lineage: Eukaryota; Metazoa; Chordata; Mammalia; Rodentia; Cricetidae
Product: small nucleolar RNA SNORA70
Exons: 1
Source: RefSeq, a predicted model, not a curated record